RNAcentral lists this unclassified non-coding RNA (396 nucleotides) under Hevea brasiliensis (rubber tree). The record is from RNAcentral. Lineage: Eukaryota; Viridiplantae; Streptophyta; Magnoliopsida; Malpighiales; Euphorbiaceae.
GGAACAUUUGUUGGUCCUGUUCAUCAUUUACUCUUCUGCCAUAAACCUACGUUAGUCAUAUGUGCAGCAUGCUUCUAAACAAUGUCUUUUUUGUUUACCAUUGCAUAAAGUUUUCAUUUUCAUUAAGUAAAGGGAUCUUCAAUCAUUUUGCCUUAAUAUUUGUAUUCAAAUUGAAGCACAUGAUCAUCUGAUAGCAGUGAGAUGCUUAUAUCCUCCCAUUCUUUUGUUGCAUGCUGAUAGUCAGAUUCUCAAAUUGUGCUUAUUUUUAUAUUGUUCUUUCCAAAGCUGUUGAUGAUCUCCUUUUCUGGUUUAUCUCGUAGAAAAUCUCCUUGAAAGGUUUUGGAACUAUAUGUUAAUUUCUAGAUAUUUGCUGUGGGCAUUGUAUUUCCGAUGAAG